This 274-nucleotide ribosomal RNA is filed under the name uncultured bacterium. Its description in RNAcentral is "partial 16S ribosomal RNA". It matches the Rfam family "Bacterial small subunit ribosomal RNA", at positions 523 to 796 of the family's 1533-position model. The record is from RNAcentral.
AUACGGAGGGUGCAAGCGUUACUCGGAAUCACUGGGCGUAAAGCGCGCGCAGGCGGUCUUUUAAGUUGGAUGUGAAAGCCUACGGCUCAACCGUAGAACUGCAUCCAAAACUAUUAGACUAGAGUGUGGGAGAGGAAGAUGGAAUUAGUUGUGUAGGGGUAAAAUCCGUAGAGAUAACUAGGAAUACCAAAAGCGAAGGCAAUCUUCUGGAGCACUACUGACGCUGAGGCGCGAAAGCGUGGGGAGCAAUCAGGAUUAGAAACCCUAGUAGUCC